This 388-nucleotide ribosomal RNA is filed under the name uncultured bacterium. RNAcentral's name for it is "bacterial SSU rRNA". It matches the Rfam family "Bacterial small subunit ribosomal RNA", at positions 29 to 419 of the family's 1533-position model. The record is from RNAcentral.
AUUGAACGCUGGCGGAAUGCUUUACACAUGCAAGUCGAACGGCAGCACGGGGGCAACCCUGGUGGCGAGUGGCGAACGGGUGAGUAAUACAUCGGAACGUGCCAAUCGUGGGGAUAACGUAGCGAAAGCUACGCUAAUACCGCAUACGAUCUACGGAUGAAAGCGGGGGAGUCGCAAGACCUCGCGCGAAUGGAGCGGCCGAUGGCAGAUUAGGUAGUUGGUGGGGUAAAGGCUCACCAAGCCAACGAUCUGUAGCUGGUCUGAGAGGACGACCAGCCACACUGGGACUGAGACACGGCCCAGACUCCUACGGGAGGCAGCAGUGGGGAAUUUUGGACAAUGGGCGAAAGCCUGAUCCAGCCAUUCCGCGUGCAGGAUGAAGGCCUUC